GAUGAAGAACGCAGCGAAAUGCGAUAAGUAGUGUGAAUUGCAGAAUUCAGUGAAUCAUCGAAUCUUUGAACGCACAUUGCGCCCUUUGGUAUUCCUUAGGGCACGCCUGUUCGAGCGUCAUUUAAACCUUCAAGCUAAGCUUGGUGUUGGGUGACUGUCCGCCUCACGGCGGACUCGCCUCAAAAUUAUUGGCGGCCGGUACAUUGGCUUCGAGCGCAGCAGAAACGCGAACUCGGGCCCGUCGUAUUGGCUCCCAGAAGCUAUCUUCACAAUUUUGACCUCGGAUCAGGUAGGGAUACCCGCUGAACUUAAGCAUAUCAAUAAGCGGAGGA
This 332-nucleotide unclassified non-coding RNA is filed under the name soil metagenome. RNAcentral's name for it is "partial contains 5.8S ribosomal RNA, internal transcribed spacer 2, and large subunit ribosomal RNA". The stretch from base 1 to 120 matches the Rfam family "5.8S ribosomal RNA", at positions 35 to 154 of the family's 154-position model. The record is from RNAcentral.